UUCCGGUUGAUCCCGCCGGACCUGACUGCUAUCGGAUUGAUACUAAGCCAUGCGAGUCAUUGUAGUAAUACAAGGCAGACGGCUCAGUAACGCGUAGUCAACCUAACCUAUGGACGGGAAUAACCUCGGGAAACUGAGUAUAAUGCCCGAUAGAACAUUAUGCCUGGAAUGGUUUAUGUUCCAAAUGAUUUAUCGCCGUAGGAUGGGACUGCGGCCUAUCAGUUUGUUGGUGAGGUAAUGGCCCACCAAGACUAUUACAGGUACGGGCUCUGAGAGGAGUAGCCCGGAGAUGGGUACUGAGACACGGACCCAGGCCCUAUGGGGCGCAGCAGGCGAGAAAACUUUGCAAUGUGCGAAAGCACGACAAGGUUAAUCCGAGUGGUUUCUGCUAAAGGAACCUUUUGUUAGUCCUAGAAACACUAACGAAUAAGGGGUGGGCAAGUUCUGGUGUCAGCCGCCGCGGUAAAACCAGCACCUCAAGUGGUCAGGAUGAUUAUUGGGCCUAAAGCAUCCGUAGCCGGCUCUAUAAGUUUUCGGUUAAAUCUGUACGCUCAACGUACAGGCUGCCGGGAAUACUGCAGAGCUAGGGAGUGGGAGAGGUAGACGGUACUCGGGAGGAAGGGGUAAAAUCCUUUGAUCUCUCGAUGACCACCUGUGGCGAAGGCGGUCUACCAGAACACGUCCGACGGUGAGGGAUGAAAGCUGGGGGAGCAAACCGGAUUAGAUACCCGGGUAGUCCCAGCUGUAAACUAUGCAAACUCAGUGAUGCAUUGACUUGUGGUCAAUGCAGUGCUGCAGGGAAGCCGUUAAGUUUGCCGCCUGGGAAGUACGUACGCAAGUAUGAAACUUAAAGGAAUUGGCGGGGGAGCACCACAAGGGGUGAAGCCUGCGGUUCAAUUGG
This 901-nucleotide ribosomal RNA is filed under the name uncultured archaeon. RNAcentral describes it as "bacterial SSU rRNA". It matches the Rfam family "Archaeal small subunit ribosomal RNA", at positions 1 to 909 of the family's 1478-position model. The record is from RNAcentral.